RNAcentral lists this long non-coding RNA (3215 nucleotides) under Limulus polyphemus (Atlantic horseshoe crab). Its description in RNAcentral is "uncharacterized LOC111083265". Lineage: Eukaryota; Metazoa; Arthropoda; Merostomata; Xiphosura; Limulidae. The record is from RNAcentral.
UUACUCUCCUUAAAUGUGAUGUGAAUAUUGUUUCUAGCAAAACCUGACAACACCGUACUCAUAUCCCUACCAGCAGAUGGGAUAUUGGUAUCCUCAAGGUUAUCCUCAAGUGCAGGGUCAGUUCAUGCAGUAUCCGUAUGGACAGUACUAUGGUCAAGGAUUUGGUAUGGGUGCUCAGAUGGCCUGGCAAGGAAAUCCAGGACAGUCACAAAUGGCAGCAGCUGCUACCCAGAGCCUCAUUGGACAACAGGCUGGAGUGAUAGGUGCCUAUCCCAUGCAGCAGUACCAGGUACAAUAAGUCUCAUCUGCUUCAUGAAUCAGUCAACCCAGUUUUGGAAUAACUAUUCCUACCAAACUCCUUUUUCCUGGCUAAGAGAUUACCAGUCAGGCUUGUUCAUGAAGGGGUGCCUGGUUGAUUUGAUGACAGUUCUCUGGUUCUUCUAUGACUCGUCUGUACCCUCUUGCCCACAGAUUAACAGUCUUUGGAGAAAUGAUUUGGAGUUAGGUUGGAUUGUUAUCAUUUUAGACAGGGAAAUUUACUUGUUUAGCUAGGACCAUUUGAUUUCAACAUUUUAUAUGGCUAGAACACCAUUUUUGGUGCAGUUAAGAGCAUGUAGUUUUUCUCUAGCUUACCAGAUUAGAGCCUAACCUGCCUCCAAGUCACCUCUCCUGAUUCACAAAUUCCUUUUUAAUGUUACAGAAGAAGGGAUAAAUUACAUAUAAAGAGUGUAUAUACAUAUAUAUGUGUGUGUGUGUUGUUUUACAGAUAUCUAGUUAUUAGUGUGAGGUAUAUGUUCAUUGUACGUAAGUAGACAUGAAGCUAUAAUCGCCUUGCCUUACUUCAUCAGUGUGUAUUAUACACAACCAAGUCACUUUGCUUACUUGCUUUUUUCUCAACUUUGUAAAAGUCACUGCGUAACAAGUGUAGCUUAAAAAGUAUGAUAGGAAGAUAUAAGUAAUGUGUUCAGUGUGCAUGUGCACAACAGAAAGUUUAAAAUCAAGAAAAAUGUGUACAAAACUCCUUUGUGACGCUUAAACCCUGUUUAGUGUACUGUAAUUUUUCUAUUUUGUUUUAACCAUGAACAACCUGAUAAUUUUAUGGAAAAUCAAACUCUUUAUUGUUAACAUGGAAGAUGUUUCUUAAAUUCCUCUACACUUAUUGGGUACUUGUGUGAUUUUUUCAAGCAAGCAGAAUGUUUUCCUUUGUAUCAUUCUUCAGCUGUUCUGUGUUUUCCAGUUAUUUCAUAACAUCCUAGUCUACUUGUUCUAUGUGUCCCAACUCUAGGAAGUACUUGUUAGCUCCCUGCACAAUAACUGUUCUGAAAACAGUUGGAUAGUAGUUGGAGUGUGAUGAAAAGCCCUCUCCUUCUUAAGAAACACAUUAGUCAGUGUUGAAAAACCUUCUAUCUUAAGGAACUGGGAUUGAACUGUUGAAAAGCCCUCUCCUAUUUUAAGAAACAAAUUAGUUAGUCUUAAAAAUUCUUAAUAAAUAGAAAUUAGUCAGAGACUGUAAAAAAGCCCCCUCCUGUUUUAAGAAACUGAAAUUAGUCAGAGACUGUAAAAAAGCCCCCUCCUGUUUUAAGAAACUGAAAUUAGUCAGAGACUGUAGAUAAGCUCUCUCCUGUCUUCAGAAACCAAAUAGUCAGUGGUGAAAACCUAUCUUCUAUCUUAAGAAAUUAUAACUUGUCAGAAUAUUGAAAACCCUCUCCUAUCUUAAAAACAUGAAAUCAAAGUAAAAGUGAAGACUUGUGACACGUGUUACCUGCAGACCAAGUGAUUUAAAAGGUAGAAACUAACUAUAAGGCUGAUAUUUAAAACAGUUGGUUAUUAAAAUUUUGAAUAUAAUGUAGGUUUCUAAUAAUCGACAAAAGUGGAAUAUAGCACGUUCAUAAAGGAAUUCAAACAUCUCUUAAGUUGAACAUUCACUAUUCUCAAAAUAUGAAAACUUGGUUUUUCCAUCAUGUUUAACUAAAGGUAUAUAUAUAUAUAUAUAUUUGUAACAUUAAUUAUCUAUUUGUUGCUCUCAUGGGAGUUCUAACUUUCAUAUUUUAGUUUCAUCAAGCUAGAUAUUUCAAAAGAUAAUCUUAUACCUAAAGAUAGUGAUUCAUUGUAAAGAAUAAAGCUUAUUUUUACGUACUAGAAGAAGGUGCUGUAAACACUGACUGAUUGUAAACUGAAAGAAUAAUGUGUCAGGUUAACUGGAAGAACUUUCUCAAGGUGCUGUAAACACUGACUGAUUGUAAACUGAAAGAAUAAUGUGUCAGGUUAACUGGAAGAACUUUCUCAAGGUGCUAUAAACACUGACUCUUUGUAAACUGAAUGGAUAAAGUGUCGAUUUGUGUGUCAGGUUGACUGAAAGAAGGCGCUGUAAACACUGAAUCAUUUUAAAUUAAGAGGAAAAAGGAAGUGAGCAAUGUACAAUUUGUUUCUUUGAGGUAAUCAUCAUUUAGCUCUGAUAUCAUGUGACAGGUAAGGUAUCUGUCAUUUUGGACUGAAGAUGCAUGGGAGCAUGUGAAUUCUUUUCUAGAAAUAAACAGUAUGACAUUAGCAUAGUAUAGAUGUAGACAUUAGUGAUAGUUACUACUCAAACUCAGGAGUUCUUUCAUUAUAUACAGAAAGUUGAGAUGAUGAAGUAAACUAGGUGUAAUUCAUUCUUUCCUCUCUUAUGAAGGAGAGUUUGUUUCUGUGAUAGUUUGCGAUUGUCCUGUUCAAGCAAAGUUGUCUUUCUAGAGUAAUGAAUUAACUCAUGUUUUUAAGUAAGGUAGGGUUUGUUUUAAGGCAAAGGUUUUGAUAAAAAAACAUCAUUAUUAAAGUUUCAUCAAUAUCAUAACUUUAGUAUUUACUUCAUAAGAAAUUUGGCUUCUUUAUUUUAUGUAAAGUGAUUUGGAAAAUGUACACAACUUCAACUUUGCUGAAGAAUUAGCCUGAUCGAAGAGUUCUGAAUGAAUCUUUAACUGAACUAUUUAAUAAAUAAAUAAAUAACACACAGUGCUGAAUGGAAAAUCGUGAAAAAGGAGGUGAACUACAAACUGUUCUUUCAUUAAAUAAUUGUAUCACUGAACACAUACAUUUAAUUGACUGUUGAUAUUUGGCAAGGUAUAGUUAAAUAACUGGUGUAUUAGGUUUGUGGAAAAUUGUGUUACAGUGUGUGCUCUUUCUGUUGUAUGAAAAGAAAUGAAGAAAAUACUUCAAAUAAAAUGAUACAUUUUUACAUA